GUCGAGAAUCUUUCACAAUGGAGGAAACUCUGAUGCAGCGACGCCGCGUGAGUGAUGAAGGCCUUCGGGUCGUAAAGCUCUGUCGCAGGGGAAUAACACAAUGAAGGUACCCUGUAAGAAAGGAUCGGCUAACUUCGUGCCAGCAGCCGCGGUAAGACGAGGGAUCCUAGCGUUGUUCGGAAUCAUUGGGCGUAAAGCGGAUGUAGGUGGCUAUGUAAGUCAGAUGUGAAAGCCUGGGGCUCAACCCCAGAAGUGCAUUUGAUACUGCGUAGCUUGAGUGUCGGAGAGGUUACUAGAAUUGUUGGUGUAGUGGUGAAAUACGUAGAUAUCAACAGGAAUACCGGAGGCGAAGGCGGGUAACUGGCCGAACACUGACACUGAGAUCCGAAAGCGUGAGGAUCAAACAGGAUUAGAUACCCCAGUAGUCC
This 428-nucleotide ribosomal RNA is filed under the name uncultured bacterium. RNAcentral's name for it is "partial 16S ribosomal RNA". It matches the Rfam family "Bacterial small subunit ribosomal RNA", at positions 354 to 796 of the family's 1533-position model. The record is from RNAcentral.